UACGAAGGGGGCUAGCGUUGUUCGGAAUUACUGGGCGUAAAGCGCGCGCAGGCGGUUUUUCAAGUCAGUGGUGAAAGCCCGGAGCUCAACUCCGGAACUGCCAUUGAAACUGUAAAACUUGAGGAUGAGAGAGGUGAGUGGAAUUCCCAGUGUAGAGGUGAAAUUCGUAGAUAUUGGGAAGAACACCGGUGGCGAAGGCGGCUCACUGGCUCAUAUCUGACGCUCAGGCGCGAAAGCGUGGGGAGCAAACAGG
Molecule: ribosomal RNA, 253 nt
Filed under: uncultured bacterium
Lineage: Bacteria
Description: partial 16S ribosomal RNA
Rfam family: Bacterial small subunit ribosomal RNA
Source: RNAcentral